AACACUGGUGCGGCCUUUGCGUCCGGCUUCAGGGGCGGGUUCAACACCGGCGCCGAAUAUCGGAACGGUGCAGGAGGCUGCUCCAACACGGGCGCGGCCUAUGAUGGCUCUGAUGUCUGGGGCAGCAACAACCUUGGAGCCCACUACGCUGACGGCUCAGGUGGCGGCCACGGCAACAUCGGCGCCACCUACAAAGGUGGCGCAACUGGCGGCGGCAAUGUCGGUGCCUGCUUCGGGGGCAAUCCUAGCCGUCUUGGUGCUGGCCGCGGCGGUUAACGGAACCCCCGUCAGGGGGUUUGAGGCAGUCUGGGACGGCGUUGUCGGAUCCAACUAUCUCGACCGACGGGCCUCCCGCUGCUAUCAGAUAAACCUUGAGCCACCGUGUAUUAUGGUUCCAUAUAUAGUUAUGUAUCCAUGCUUGCUAUUGGCGAAUAAAUAAGGCUCUUCCUAAAGUUCGUUUCCGCAGUUCACCAUCUCGCGCUCCGUUCUUUUGUUUUUUGGGCACAACCCUGUCUCGCUUUUGAAUUGAUGAUGGGUGAGCAGUUGGAGGAACGUAGGCGAUCGGUUGCUUCCGAGUAGAAGUUUGCACCGGAAGUGGCCCAUCGCUGACAGCUAUGCCCUGACUUGUCUCAUAUUUGUUUACUGAGAAGCUACGGAUCGCGGUUCAAUCUUUCGCGCGAAAGAAGGAAUCCACCGUUGGAUCAUCCAACGCACACAUCUCAAAGCGCUCCGAAUGCCGGCAUCCAUCAGCCUGCAGAGCCGUCAGACGUGAGCGGUGGAUUCGGGAGAACGAAGGUGAAUCCUGCUCCCGCGCCCAGGAUACAGCAACGACGCAGAAGCCGCCGAUAAAAGCAUGAGGUGCUGGGACUGGAAAAUAAAUCCUCCAAUAACGAAAAAAAAGAAGAACAUAAUGCAGCUCAAUGUGAUUGGGCCCAUAUGAUGGCUUAAGUUUUAGUUGGAUUGGGUCUACUGUUGAGUUGCGUACUAGUCUAACCAUAAAGCGGUACGCGCAAUCGCACAUGUAACCUGCGCGUUGUCUGCUCAUCCAUCAUUGUGCAUGUUGCUUUAUUUAAUUCUUUUAUGGUUGGCCCGGAGAGAGAAGUUUAAGCUAAAUGAAAGAAGGCAACUUUGUCUGCCCCUUCAUAUUCAUUCCAGGCCUUCAGAACAACCUGACAAAGGAUGACUGUAAAUUGAACAUCCCUUGUGUUUUUCAAGCAAGCUUGAUUUCGGUGGGAUCGGAAGCUUAAUUGUGAACAUAUGAGCCAAUUUUUUGUUUGCUCGGUUUGGGACUGAGCUCCACAAGACUAGCUGUUAGCCUUGAAUCUUGAUGGGUUUGGCUUUGGUGCUAUCUUACGGAAAUUCAGACUUGGUUUAGGUUAGGCAUGUUGCUCAUAUAGGGUUAGCAUUUUUCUUCAACCAAAGCCCGACACCAACCAAUUGUGGCCGCUUCAUUGGGCCCAAUCUGGGAUUUAGCCCAGUCCUGGUGGUUAGCUGAAAUUAAAUGCAUGCAGCUGAAUAUUUGUGCGGAUAGGAGGUGGAGAUUGUAAAAUAAUGGUCGCACAUAUCCAAAGAAAAUGUAAAAUAGUUGCCACCAUUUGGCUAAUAACAAUUUUUUCACGAGAAAAAGACCUAUUAUCAGAAUAUAGAUCCAAUUACAAUAGUUUUUUUUGCAAUCAAAUCUCUAUAAACAAUGCCAUUAUUAGAUAGUUGUUCUCCUUUUCUUUAACUAUUACAACGUAAAACGGAUAUAAAAAUAUUAUUUUACUUUUAGAAUAUGUAAGAUAAUAAAAAUAUAUAGGUUAAGGUAACAAAUGAUACAUAUAUUGAGAUAUUGGCUAAUUCAAGUGAAUAUGAAUAGACUAUCUUUUGGCCUUUUUCUAUCGAAAAAAUCGUUCUAUAUAUAUUUUGAGAUUUUAUUUUGAUUUAGCACCUAUUUUUUUGUGUGUCUCUGUAUACAUUGUAUACAUCGUAGUGGCAACAUCAAGGUUCAACUGGCGACUGACAAACAUGCAAGAAAAUAAAAUAUUGAGGGCAGCCGUCUGGUACAUAGUCACCGCAUGCCUAAAAAAAUAUAGAGCUAAUUCCUCCUCUUGCCUGUCCCUCCAUUCAAAAAUAACUGUAGAAUAUUUUCAAAUAAGCAAAUAAUGAUGGAAACCCCUCUAUAUAUAUAUAUAUAUUUGGCGAACCAACGUAUAUAAUUAAAUUUAGCUCUACCGACCUUUUGAUUUUUUUAACCUAAAAUGAUGUAUUUAGUUUUUUAAACUUCAAAUAGAUGAAUUAUGUUUUGUCACAAAAUUAUUAAUAAAUGAUACCAUCUUCACAGGACAUAAUUUUCUUUUGAGCAGCUCUCGUUAGCUCGCACCGUGAACUAACUGCAAGCAGUGCUUGCAAUCCCUAAUGAAAUCUGCUGCAAUCUAUGGGAUCGUGCAACCCGUAUUAUACCGGAAUAUUGCCGGCUGGAUUCGGCAUGGGCAGCCAAAGCAUAUCCAAAAUUCGAUGGCUGGGUAAGGAAUCGAGCCAUCCACCUAUCAUUCCCUCCUGCGAAUUAGCAUCUCAGGGAAAGAAAAAUUUCGCAUCUUUUUCGCUAUCCAUCUUUCGCAUGUUUCCCUCCCGUGUCGUCAACUACCAUGCAGAGAGUUUGUAUCAGUGGCUAAACUAGUUCAAUUUGAUGGUUAGACCUUGACAGCGUUGAUUCAACUGCUAGCUUCGACGACAGUUAUUGCACCGUCAGUUGACUUGGUGGUGUGAAGGGUGGUUGUGAGUCGCCCUGGACUCGGAGUCCGUCUCAAAGUAAGGUCCGAAGCAUUUGGACGGUAGGCGGUUGCCAUCAGAUUGCUUCUGGUGGUGGCUAGUGCACUGGUAGAUGGGUUCUAUAGGAGUACAAUUUGCCAUUAUUAAGAUGUUGGGCCGUGAUGACCUAUUGUGGUUGAGUUUCGGCCUGCAUCACUCCCUUCGCUUAUUUUUAUAAAUGAGUUAGAUGAUGUAAGGAAUAAAAAAUUAUGAAAAAAGUUAUUGUCGAGAAAAAUUAUUUAGGACCUUAGCAUGAUUUUUCAUAUGGCAAUCAAAAUAAUCAUGUAAGGCUUUUUCCCAAGAGAGAAUUUGAAGACUUGCUUUCCUUUGUAGUCUGAGUAUGAUUUCAUGACAUUCACAAAGCUGCUCGUCAACUCCUCUGCACUGCCACAAGACAAGUUUAUGGCUUCUAUAAUCUGAAUGGCUUAUUGCAUGCUUGCCAUGCCCCCUUUUUUAGUUUUCUGGUUGUUGGACUCUUUCUUAUUGGUGGACUAAUCUCUGUGCAUCUAAGUUCCUAAAUACGUCUAACCGGCAAUGCUGGUGGGUGCACUCUGCUAUUUAUUCUGAUCUGGUAUUUGCUUGUGAAGCGCUUAUGCAUUUUUCUUCGUGCGCUGAUGAGAUGUAUCGAAAAUAGAGAUAUGUCCACGCAAGGUAACAGUAAGUCGAUCAAAUUUCUCAUACUCUUUUUAUAUUUCUUAAUUAUGAAUAUUAUAAACUAGGAUAAAAUUGGAUUCGGCAAUGCCCCAUGCAUUUCUACUAUACAAUAUAAAAUCACAAUUGGUAAGAGCAAUAAAGACAAGAGAUUUGUUAUCCACUAACCAAUAAUAGCAAUGGUGGGCCCUUCAUAUUUCCAGCAGAAUGCAAUCCUAUAGGCCCCAGCAUGCAAUGGCCUCUCAUAUUACUAAAUUUUAGUUAGAUCAGAUUCCUAGAUAAGCCAGCGGAUCAUUCCUACUGUGAAACAACGUUUCCAAAUAUGUGUGUAUUGCCUGCUUUUUUAUUUUUAUUCGUUGGCAUAAAAAUAAUGCUUCUCUCACACGUAAUUUCUAGCUGUUAUUUUUAUUGUGCGGUUGGAAUGAUCCAUUCAACUCGGCAGUGAAUUUGAUCUAACUAAGACUUCUCUCACACGCAAUUUCUACUAAGACUCCGGCACCAUUUCAUGUGACGCAAUUUCUAUUGCGAGAGGCAUUGAAUCUGGCGACUCUGAUUCGGGUGCAAUGACUCCGGCACCAUUUCAUGUGACGCAAUUUUUAUUAGGAGAGGCAUUGAAUCUGUCAACUCUGAUUCGGGUCCGAUUACCCCGGCACCAGUUCAUGUCAGUGAAUUCAACCCCUCCGCGGAACUCAAAACGUGGUGAGCGCCCGCUCGGAUCCGGAUCAGCUGACGAGUGUCCCGCCGCCUGGGGCAGCCUGGGUCAGUCAAUUCCCCAUAUGCGCCUCACCUGCAAGUUCACACUCCCCUGUCCCUCGCGCGUGCGGUCCGCCGUGGACUGCGAUGUGCCACAUCGGACUGAGAAAACUAUAUAAAUAUAAAUAAAAACCCCCUCUCCCCGACUCCCCCUUAAAACAACCCCCACCGGACUCCAGUCUCAUACACCCCAUCUCAUCCCGCGCUCUCUUCACAGAGAUAGCAGCACCAUGGACUUCGAGGACUCCUCCUCGUCCAGCUCUUUCUCACCCAAUGAAGUCUCUCCUUCGCACGUGCCAGCCACCAGCUCCUCUUCCUGCUGCUCCGCCUCCCCGCGAGUGCCUGCAAAGUCGCCGAAGCGCCGAGCAGGGAGGAAGAAAUUCCGGGAGACGCGCCACCCGGUGUACCACGGCGUGCGGGAGCGCAACGGCGGCAAGUGGGUGUGCGAGGUGCGGGAGCCCCGAAAGAAGAGCCGCAUCUGGCUCGGGACCUACGCCACGCCGGAGAUGGCCGCCAGGGCCCACGACAUCGCCGCAAUGGCGCUUCGCGGCAAAGCGGCGCUCCUCAACUUCCCCGACUCGGCGUGGACGUUGCCACCGCCGGCGUCGUCCUCCGCUGAGGAUAUUCGGCGUGCUGCGUCGAAGGCGGCCGAGAUGUUUCGGCCUACCGUGUCAUUGCCAGCGCCGCAGGCGCAGCCGGCGGCGGUGGUCGUGGACGAGGAGGCUUUGUUCAACAAGCCCGGAUUGUUGGAUGACAUGGCGAGGGGACUGAUGCUGACGCCGCCAGCUAUGCAGAAAGGGUUCGACUGGGAUGGCGUGGAAUGCCAAAUGGACCUGUCGCUGUGGACUGACUGAAAUUGUUUUUUUUUUUUUUCGCUAAGGGACUGAAAUUUUUUCGGUGCACACCUGCGGGUCUGGCACUGACCAGGUGGCACAGGCGGAAGCUUAGAGUUAGGAUCCACAGGAAAGAAAUAUUUUGCCACUUUCUUUGUUUGUACAGAGAACUUUAGUAGCCGGAUUGUGUAGUACUUUAACGGUAGUUAAUUUUGCAGUAGGUUUGUAGAUCUCAUCAAAAUCAACUCCAUAAUUUUUUGAGAAUUCUUUUGCUCUAAGUUAGCACUCAUUAAAACCAUCACACUCCCUUUUCACCUUGCACGCUUACUUGCAAGAAAUAAGACAAGUACCACUAAGCAAAGGAGCUAAAUCCUAUUUUUCAUUCUUUUUAAAAAUUGAAUUUUUUUUCACAACAUUCUCUCAAAGAUCAGUAUCCUUGACUCACCAUACAAAGUGAGUUUUUGCAUACCAAUAAUAGUAGAAACGCAAUAAUAAGUAAGAAAAAAAUAAUUCCAAUUUGCAUGUGAGUUACUACUUUCUUCUUUCUUUUGCUUUCAUAUAAUAGUAAUGGAUCUUUAAGAGUUUCAUGUUCAUCUUCGCGUAAUCUCAUGUCAUCUUCUUCUCUAAUAAUAUCUUCUUUUUCUUAGAAUUUGAGAUAUUUACACCAUUUUCUUAUAGACUUUUAUGACUACAAGAAGAAGGGAAAGGUGAAGAUGUCUCCGUCUGCUAAGCCACAGAAGGAGAAAAAGGUUGAAUACCUUACCUUUCUAGAGCGACAUUCUCUUCAAAUAUACGAUCCCCAUUAGCAUUAGUAAGUAAUUAAAGAUCACCAAAUAGAAAAUAUGACCCAUCACAAGACCACCAAGAAGAAUUCUCAUAAAAAAAAUAUGUUUGAAAAUAUAAAUCUCCAACCUUUCCUAACCUCAUUAUAGCUAAGAUAUAUCCACUUGACAAACUUCUUAAUUAGCUUAUAUAUUAGAGAAAUCAUCAUAAUCAUAUACAAAGAAAGUACAUCCAAACAUUCGAAGAUGAGAAAUAUUUUGUGAUUAAUACUCCUCAAAUAUGUCUCAUUAAUAACAUAUACUGUCGUUUGCAUGUACUCUGUCUAAAAUUCAUGCUUCACAUUCUUUGCAUGAAUCACACUAUGGAUAGUUAAAUAGUUAGAGAAAUCUUUAAAAAUAUAUUUGUCACCACUAGUUCUUAAACAACCAAUUUUUAAUCUCAAGAAAUUUUCAAUGAGAUUUUUAAAUUAAUAAAAUUUUUCAAACACUUUUAAUACUUCUCUAAAAAAAUAAGCCAGACAUAUCUAGAGAAAUUAUCAAUAAAGAUACCUGCAUACCUCAUACCAAUGAAAGAUGCAGUACCAAUCCUUCGAGUGAGAUCUGAAUGUACCAAUUGUAGUGGCCAAGAGAAUUUUGUUCUCCUCUCAUUAAAAGGUAGCUUGUGCUUCUUUCUAUAAUGACAUUCAACAAAGAUACUAAUAGUACUCAUCUUCAUUCUGGAAAGCUCAUUAAACUAAUCUUUGUUCUGCAUAUUUUGAACAAUGUCAUAAUUCAUAUGAGCCAAUCUAGUAUGCUAUAAAGUAGCUGUGUUAUGCUUAAGAGUUUGAUCCACAUAAAAAUUGCUGGCAACAAUAAUAUAAAGCUUAUUCACUUUCCUACUAAGAGUAAGAAACUUUUCGGAAGCUUUAACAUUAGCAUAUAUCUCUAUAACAUUAAGCUUAAAUAAAAUAGAAAGCCCUUUAUCUAUGUUUUAUGAAAUAGAAAUCAAAUUUUUCUUCAUGCCAGGAACAUAGUAAAUAAUAUUCAUAAAAAUAGAAGAACCAAAAUAUGAUAUGAGAAAUAGAUCUUCAAUAUUUUUGACAGGGUAAAGUGAAUCAUAAGUAGUAGCAAAAGUAUUAAAAUUUGUAUAAUCACGUAGAUAAUCAAAUAUCUCUUUAUGAUUAAUAAAAUGAUUAGAACAUCCUGAAUCAAUAAACCAAUCAUAUGUAAAAUCAACAUUUGUUAUAUGAGAAGAAGUUGAAAUAUACAUAUGCUGAUAAUUAUGAUAAUUUGCAUCAACAGAGAAAUGAGAGCACAAUAGCAAUAUGAUGCAACAUUGGAGUACUGCUCGAGCUUCAUCCUAUAAUCUUGAAUUUUUUGAUAAAACUCUCCGCAUCUAAAAUAAUUUUCCUCAAAUUUAUAAUUUUCCUUUGAAUUGGAAUUUUUUCCCUCUCAAAUUCUCAAUUGAUAUUUUUCUGAAUUUUUAAAUUUAUUAGGUUUUUGAGCUCAACUAGCAAGCAUAUAAGCACUAUACUUAUUUAAACCACAAACCNNNNNNNNNNNNNNNNNNNNNNNNNNNNNNNNNNNNNNNNNNNNNNNNNNNNNNNNNNNNNNNNNNNNNNNNNNNNNNNNNNNNNNNNNNNNNNNNNNNNNNNNNNNNNNNNNNNNNNNNNNNNNNNNNNNNNNNNNNNNNNNNNNNNNNNNNNNNNNNNNNNNNNNNNNNNNNNNNNNNNNNNNNNNNNNNNNNNNNNNNNNNNNNNNNNNNNNNNNNNNNNNNNNNNNNNNNNNNNNNNNNNNNNNNNNNNNNNNNNNNNNNNNNNNNNNNNNNNNNNNNNNNNNNNNNNNNNNNNNNNNNNNNNNNNNNNNNNNNNNNNNNNNNNNNNNNNNNNNNNNNNNNNNNNNNNNNNNNNNNNNNNNNNNNNNNNNNNNNNNNNNNNNNNNNNNNNNNNNNNNNNNNNNNNNNNNNNNNNNNNNNNNNNNNNNNNNNNNNNNNNNNNNNNNNNNNNNNNNNNNNNNNNNNNNNNNNNNNNNNNNNNNNNNNNNNNNNNNNNNNNNNNNNNNNNNNNNNNNNNNNNNNNNNNNNNNNNNNNNNNNNNNNNNNNNNNNNNNNNNNNNNNNNNNNNNNNNNNGUAGGCUAGUUGCAAUAUUAAAUAAAACACAUAUCUCGCGCUUAUGCUUUAAUUAGCAUUAGAAAAAUAAACUAUUCUGAAUCAUGCAUUUAUUGACUACUAAUUACAAUAUUUGUUUCCCAAUAAGUGGGAUUAAUUCCCGAUACAUGUUUAAGAGCUACUCGGAACAAGUGGCUUAUGUUCGGUCAAAGUCCAAUUUGAUCCAAAUUUAAUACAAACAGAAUUAGAACUAAAAUUUGGAUCCAGUUCUCGCUAGUUUGUAGAUAGUAAGCCCUAGUGCAAUAGUUUGAUUGGUCCAUUAUGACAAAUAUAUCACAAAUUCAAAAUAUGAAAAUAAUUUAUCUCUAUUUAACAGUAAGAUUGUGUACAUCUGACCCUCUGACUUCAUAGUUGUAGGAACCUUGUCCACUGAGCUACCUUUUUCUGGUGAUAUGUCGUGUCUACUCCAACUUGAGUUGGUACCAAGUUUCAGAUGAGUUAGAGGGUGCAAUAAUAUUUUAUUGAAUUGAUUUUCUUCCAAAUGUGUUUAAUUGUGUAAAAUAAUGCACUCUAUGCUGUAUAACAUCACACCAGAUUUGACGUAACGUCAGCUGUACCAACCAGAUUCGAUCUAUGUCCACCCGACUCAUUGCAACCUAAGCAGCAAGAGAACUAGUGUGGUGGCUUGUAUAUGACAUGACUUUUAGCAAUUUUAGUCCUAAUCAUGAUAUUGCUAUAGGAUCUAGCACUUCGAUCCAUGUCCCUAAUUGGGUCAAAUUUAGUGUUACUUGGAUAUCAGCAUCCAGCUCCAAAAAUUGGUGUCGAGCAUUUGUAAGACGGAUAUGUAUCAAAAUCUUGGAUAAUUAUGAAGUAAUUUAGUAGUCAAUUUUAAAGAUCGGAACAGAGUUGAACUAUUUCAAUGAUUAGUUUGAUUCUAUAUUAUGAUAUUAAGAGUGACUGGUUGUUUUCGAAAUCACUAGUGCAAUCGAUCUGUUGAAUUUUUUUACCCCUUUUUUUCCUUAGCUGGAAGGGUUUUUCUUGCAAAAAACAAAAACUUUUUCCUUCCAACACUACAGAGACAUUUACAUAACUCCUAAGUCAAGCCGACGUUACCAGGCCUAGCUAAAAGAGACGAGCCACAGAAACUCACGAACGGUCAUCUAGGCGAUGCUAAUUUUGGGCCGGAGUUGUCACAAGGUAGCUCCAAGUCGGAGAGGUCUAAGCCUCUCAGAGAUCCGGGUUAUUGGAUCGGCCAUGCAGCCUUUGGGAGUGGGUGUGGGCCAAGGAAAAGUAAGGGGAAAAAACAAGGAUAGACUCAGAGAUGCAAGCUAUAUAUAUAUAUGACACCCAAUUCCAUAACAAGCGACGAGCCAUUAACAGGAAUAGAGCAGGCUCUAUUGAUCACUUGUGCCGCGCUCUCUGGAGGGAAGCGCUACAAAAGAGUCACUAGAUGCAAAUUUUAGCAGGGAGAAUUUGACAAGAACGAUUCUCUGUUACAUUUGCAAAGGUGCACCUAGAUUUCUUCAAAAUGGGAAAAUGACUCAAUAUGAUGGCUAGGUAGAUGGAACCGCAUGCAAGUUGUGGAUCUAGAAUCACAUCGAACUCUCCAGAAUGAUUUCUUGACAUAAAAUUUCAAUAUAUAUUAACCUACUCUUUGCAGAGCAUAACAAAGAAAGAAGGCCUUAAGGCCCAAGAGCGUUCGCCGCAUUGUUUUGGGGGGAACUCCACUACCUCUGGAUUUUGAGCUGUAGUACCCACAGCCUCCAAGAGGACUAGGGUUGUAUCAUUUGCACGAAGGAAGUAUUCACCUUUCUUCAUGCAAAUCCACCAUCGGAUCAUCCAUAAUGGAGUCCAAAGCGCUUUGAGAGCCGUGUGGUGCAUUGUUUAUCCACCCAUUUAGCUCUGGACAAAGAAGGCCUCAAGCCCCAAGAGCAUUGGCCGCAAUUUUUUCAUGCUGGCACCCUCUUAGAAAUUUAUCCACCCAUUUAGCUAUUAGUUUAGCAUUAUCAACAACAACAACAACAUUAAAGAAAGCAAUAAAACUGUGGCAUCGAUUAUUAAGGAACGAGACUCUCUUUCUCUCUCACAUACAAAACCCAUGAAAAAAAAAGAACUGAAAACUUAUCUACAUGUUUGGUUACUAGCUCGAUGCUAAUGAUGAUGAUAACAACAAUGACAGAGAGUAAUGACAUGGUGGUAUUAUUCGAUCCUAUCUAAACCCUGCUUUGACCAAUCCUUCGUACAUAAAUUUAUAGCCGGGCCAGGCCAAGCUGCGGAAGUGAAAGUCACAUUCGGUGAUUAUUCCCUGAGCACUUAGGAACGCAAUAAAUUCUAGAUUUGAAGAUCCUUGAGUUGGAUUAUCAUGUUUCAGAAGUUAAAACAAUGGAGGUGAUGUAAACUGUGGAAUCUCUUCCAGCUGUUUUGCACCUAGUUCAAUGUUAGAUGGAGAGCAAUAAAAUUGUGGGGCCAAUUAGCCAGGAACGUGAAUCCUUUUUAGAAAGACAAGAUCAAUUAGUAUGCGGGUGAUAAGACAGAUAAAUUACGGGCUCGUUUGGUUCGCGGAAUGCAUUUUUCCUCCUAAGAAUAUAAUUUUUGAAAAAUAAAUUUUCAGAAAAAGGAUGUCUAAAAGAAUACUUUUGACAUGUUUGAUUGAUCAUGGGAAAGUGACAAAUUUCCAAAGUGCUUAUGUUUGGUUGGCCAUCCACUUUCCUGAAAAAGUUAUGUAUAAUUCCUAUUAUACCCUUAAUAAAAAUCAGGUCUUUAAUGCCUCUUUAAUGCUGAAGGGUUUUUUUGAAAAAAAGUAAAAAUAGAGUGAUUUCCGCCUUAUGAAAAAGUAACUUUUUCAUGUUUCUCAUGGAAAAGUCUUUUCCAUGAAAUGUCGGAAUCAUAUUUCUAUGGGAAUACAACUUUUCCGUCUCUCUCCUUUGAAAAUUCCGACCAAACAAGAAGCAUCUCAUUACUUUUUCGUUGACCAUACUUGUCCCCUUUUUUUUCCUGCGAACCAAACGUGCCCUGCGUGGUGGCAUCAAUUAUUUAGGCAUCUUAGCGGCUUGUUUUACUGCAGUAACAACGUGGCAGACAGUCUUCGUGCUUUAGUAUAGGAUUCCAUUCAGGAGAAAUUUAAAAAAAAAAUCAGGAUUCCCACUUUUUUUUUUUUUGGCCUUUGGACUUGUGCCAUAUUCCGCUUACAGUUAUUACAUUUGCUCGUCCCAGUGGCUUCCUUUCCGGCUUCCUUUCCGGAAAGGAAGCCUAAAAAACCAUGUCCUCCGUUUUGUCAUUUUGAUGUCGAGCUCUUACAUGCUAUGCAUUUUUGGUUAGAUUGGGUCCUUCCGACCGUCCCACAUCUCCUUUAUUCGGAGCUAGUCUUCCUGCCCUCGAUCGGCACUUUCCACCGGCCUGCAUGAGCAUAUCACGCUGCAGGGAUAACGAUCUAAAGCUUUAUCCAAAUCAAAAAACAAAAGAAUACAGACUGGAAUGUGGGGCAUCAUUCGAUCAUAUCUCAACCGGGAUGCCUGUUGAAAUAGAAUGAACUCUAGUAUAUGAAAUAGUUUUUGAAACGUGAAUUAACACUGUCCUUAAGCGAAUUUUGUCCCAUUAUGUUGCUGUUGGUGAUCCAGCAAAUGCGCUCCAAGAUACAACAAAACCAAAAUAGAAUUCUAGCCAGCAAAACUAGGAUUUCCCGGAACAACGAAAAUGAAAGAUUUAUGUAGAAGAAGUUAUAUCAUUCUGUGAAGGAAAUUGGCAAUUUAUAACUCUGAAAUAAACUCUGAACCAACACAACCUUUGGAAUAGUGCAUGUUCAAAACAUAACUGCUAGUGCAGUUAUUUUGUGCAAAACGGAUAAGAACUGCCAAUAUAAAUUUUAUUUUACACGUGCCAAGUGCCAAUCUUUGAUAAAUUAAUAUUGGUUUUUCCUUCACAACUUUCCACCAAAAAGUUACUUUAACAUGUGUAGGAUAUGAAUGCUUAUUAAGCUAUCUAAAAAACUCUACAUAAGUAAUGUGGGACUAAAACCUCUCUCAAUAUUAUAAAUUAUUAAAGGAAGGAGACUUCCAACAACGGCAAGCGUGUAUAAAUUUACAGCCGAAACCCGGUGCAACAUUACAGGCAUCCCCAUGCUCGGAGAUACAGAACUUCGUGCAAUCUCGUAAAAGAAAAGAUGGUUAGCCUAUCCGUCGUCUCUUUCACGUACGAUGCUAGGGUUUCAGCUGCAAAUUAAUAUUCUUAAUCUGUGCGGUUGUUUUUUGGCGACAGACGCAGCCGUACUAUCGAGACAACAUUGGCGCCUCGUAUGACGGCGGGGGCGGCAGCUGGAACACUGGUGCGGCCUUUGCGUCCGGCUUCAGGGGCGGGUUCAACACCGGCGCCGAAUACCGGCACGGUGCAGGAGGCUGCUUCAACACGGGCGCGGCCUAUGAUGGCUCUGAUGUCUGGGGCGGCAACAACCUUGGAGCCCACUAUGCUGACGGCUCACGCGGCGGCGGCGGCAACAUCGGCGCCGCCUACAGAGGUACUGGCGGCGGCAAUGUCGGUGCCUGCUACGGAGGCAAUCCUGGCCGUCUUGGUGCUGGCUGCGGCGGUGAACGGAACCCCUGUCAGGGCUGGUGAGGCAGUCUGGAACGGC
This 12520-nucleotide long non-coding RNA is filed under the name Phoenix dactylifera (date palm). RNAcentral describes it as "long non-coding RNA (PDAC_LNC005039)". The record is from RNAcentral. Lineage: Eukaryota; Viridiplantae; Streptophyta; Magnoliopsida; Arecales; Arecaceae.